Phrynosoma platyrhinos (Desert horned lizard) is the source of this 72-nucleotide non-coding RNA. Lineage: Eukaryota; Metazoa; Chordata; Lepidosauria; Squamata; Phrynosomatidae. The record is from the annotation of a GenBank genome assembly.
UGUAGUGUGCCAUAGUGGUUUUAGUGCUGAAUUGCCACUCUGGAGACCAGGGUUCGAUUCCCAGCUUGGCCA